GCGGGUUGUGAACAGAGCCGUGGACGUCUUCAACAAAGAGAAACAGGAAAUCAUUGCAAGAUACCUUCCUCCUUAUGACAGAAUAAAAUGACACCGGACACCUACCUUUCUAUUUAAAGCCCUUUGGAAACCACAUUCUACAGUGAAUAAGAGGUGUUAUUUCCUGGGGACAGAAAAGGCACUGCAUAACAGGAAUGAAUGACCCGGUCUGUGAGAGCCACAAAUCCAGGUAACGAGUGGAGGACAGAGGAGCCUCUUAAAGAAGAAGUUACAAGUAUGUGAGAGCCACAAAUCUUGCUUGUUUGUAGGUGACCAAAUACUUAUUUUCCACCAUAAUUUGCAAAUAAAUUCAUAAAAAAAUCCUACAA
Oncorhynchus nerka (sockeye salmon) is the source of this 368-nucleotide long non-coding RNA. RefSeq lists it as uncharacterized. Lineage: Eukaryota; Metazoa; Chordata; Actinopteri; Salmoniformes; Salmonidae. The transcript has 2 exons. The record is from RefSeq and is a predicted model, not a curated record.